RNAcentral lists this long non-coding RNA (1853 nucleotides) under Phasianus colchicus (ring-necked pheasant). RNAcentral describes it as "lncRNA (ENSPCLG00000003841.1)". Lineage: Eukaryota; Metazoa; Chordata; Aves; Galliformes; Phasianidae. The record is from RNAcentral.
GCUGAAUGUCUAAGAGUCUAUACAUUCUCCCUGGCUAAGAAAAUAUCUGAUUAUUCCAAGUAGAGUGGAACUGCUUCCUCAGGAAUGGAUGUUAUUAAUCCCAAGCUGCCUUGUAGUCUCUUCAAGAGAAUUGAUUUGAAUUCUUUUGUGGUGAGGGGGAAAUGAAGGCAGUUCCCCUAUGGAUGUGGGUGUGGCCUCUGGUUCUGAGCCAGGUGGAUAAACUAGGGGUAACCUCCUUCAGCUGUGCUUUGAGAAAAAUGGUGUAUGCUCCUGCCUCUGACUGUGGAGCAGGGUCUGAAAUGCCCGUAGUGUGCCCUAUGUCCUAGGAAAAGGUCAGAUUUAAGAGAGGAUCUUCUCAGCAGUGCUUUCCGUUCUGUGGAAGCCCUAGCCCGGGGUGCAUCAGGCCCAGAGCUGCCGAUCAGGUGAGAGAAGGGAUUGUCCUGCUGUGCUCUGCACUGUGUGGCCUCACCUGAAGCACUGGCUGUAGGUUUGGGUACCACUGUAUAAGAAAGACAUAGAACUAUUAUGCCCAAAGGAGGGCUUCUAAGAUGCGGAAGGGUCUGGAGGACAAGGAGUAUGAGGAGCAGCUGUGGGCCCUGGGUUUGUUCAGCCCAGAGCAGAGGAGCAGGGGAAGCCUGAUGGCGGCUGCAGCUCCUCACAGGUAGCGAAGGGGCAGCGCUGAGCUGUGCUCUGUGUGACAGCGACAGGGCCUGAGGGAACAGCAUGGAGCUGUGUCAGGGGAGGGGAGCUGGGUUAGGGAAAGGUCUGCACCAGAGCGUGGUGGGCACGGAACGGGCUGCCCAGGGCAGUGGGCAUGGCCCCAAGUGCCAGAGUUCAAGGAGUGUUUGGACAGCACUUUCAGAUGUAGGGUUUGGAUUUUGGGUGUUCCUGUGUGGAGCCAGGAGCUGGACUUGAUGAUCCUUGUAUUUCUUUUUCAGGUUGGGAUAUUUUGUGAUUCUAUGAAGAAGAUAUUUGGAUGUUUUCAAACCAUACUUUGCUCCAGGAGGUGCUCUGAGAAGGGCUUAUGCAGCAUCUUGGCAUCAAUCAUCUUAGUGCAACUACAUAUUCUGGGAUCUGUUUGCAAUCAGGCAAAUGAAGCGACAAGGGAGACUUAGCGAAACAGUUCAAUUUCUGACCUAGUAAAAUCAUGCUUUGGUUACUGUGUCCUCCACACCAAAAGAAAACACAGGCCAACAGGAGACAGCUAUUCACUGCCAGCAAUGGGAAAAAGGAAAAAACACACAAUAACUCCCUUUCUAUCUUUUCAACUGUCUUCAGGUGAGUAGAAUUAAAGUGGGCGGGUGCUGCAAUUACGCUUCAAGUAACAUGAAGCACAUAAAUGUGAUGGAGACAUUCUCCCCUUCUUGCUUUUUUGCUUUGUUGUGUGAAGCUCAAGAGAUAAUGUGGUGGAUGCCAAAUGUAUUAAGCAAGAGACCCAGAAGAGUGAAAAUGAGCUAAAGGGUUAGGGCAUCGGUAUGCCUAGGAGGGAGAAAGAAGAAUCUAUGGCCCUAUUUCCAGUAGCUCUCUGGGUUUAACAUCCUAUUGCUUUGCAGUAAGUGGCUACCUCCAGUUUCUCUAGCUAAGGUAAUCUGAGCACCUCUUGGAGUAUUUCUGUCCUUCCUGUUGGACUUUUUGAUAGGAUACCUCAGCCUAGACCUUGUCUAGCCUGGUCAGGUAUAGCUGGGGACCAGCAGUUAGUGCUCCCAGAUUGAGUUCAAAUGCCUUGCUGAUGGAGGUGUGGAGCUGAGAUCUGCUUUCCUGUAACAACCUGGAUUCUUCAGAGGCCUGUUGACAGGUAGAGAGUUUCAAAUCUGUUACUGAUCCAUCUUUUAUCUCAGUGGAAAAACAGCAAU